AACAUCGCGCACCUGCGGGAACCUGCGGAGGGAUCAUUACAGAGAUUGAUGCACCAAGUGCAUCACCUCCAACCCCUUGCGAAAACAACUAUCAUGUGUUGCUUUGGCAGUGUUCCCACUGCCAGAGGUUUACAUAAAAUCAGCUGUUUGGAUGUUGUCUGAGUAAACUAUAUGAAUUAUUUAAAACUUUUAACAACGGAUCU
RNAcentral lists this unclassified non-coding RNA (203 nucleotides) under soil metagenome. Its description in RNAcentral is "partial contains 5.8S ribosomal RNA, internal transcribed spacer 2, and large subunit ribosomal RNA". The record is from RNAcentral.